UGAGGCGCGAAANCCAGGGGAGCGAACGGGAUUAGAUACCCCGGUAGUCCUGGCNGUAAACGAUGGGUACUAGGUGUAGGAGGUAUCGACCCNUUCUGUGCCGGAGUUAACGCAAUAAGUACCCCGCCUGGGGAGUACGACCGCAAGGUUGAAACUCAAAGGAAUUGACGGGGGCCCGCACAAGCGGUGGAGUAUGUGGUUUAAUUCGACGCAACGCGAAGAACCUUACCAGGUCUUGACAUUGAUGGACAGAACCAGAGAUGGUUCNUCUUCUUCGGAAGCCAGAAAACAGGUGGUGCACGGUUGUCGUCAGCUCGUGUCGUGAGAUGUUGGGUUAAGUNNNNNNNCGAGCGCAACCCCUAUCUUAUGUUGCCAGCACUUUGGGUGGGGACUCAUGAGAGACUGCCGCAGACAAUGCGGAGGAAGGCGGGGAUGACGUCAAAUCAUCAUGCCCCUUAUGACCUGGGCUACACACGUACUACAAUGGGAGUUAAUAGACGGAAGCGAGAUCGCGAGAUGGAGCAAACCCGAGAAACACUCUCUCAGUUCGGAUCGUAGGCUGCAACUCGCCUACGUGAAGUCGGAAUCGCUAGUAAUCGCAGGUCAGCAUACUGCGGUGAAUACGUUCCCGGGCCU
Molecule: ribosomal RNA, 636 nt
Filed under: uncultured bacterium
Lineage: Bacteria
Description: bacterial SSU rRNA
Rfam family: Bacterial small subunit ribosomal RNA
Source: RNAcentral